RNAcentral lists this ribosomal RNA (495 nucleotides) under uncultured bacterium. RNAcentral's name for it is "bacterial SSU rRNA". It matches the Rfam family "Bacterial small subunit ribosomal RNA", at positions 501 to 999 of the family's 1533-position model. The record is from RNAcentral.
CUACGUGCCAGCAGCCGCGGUAAUACGGAAGAUCCGAGCGUUAUCCGGAUUUAUUGGGUUUAAAGGGAGCGUAGGCGGGAAUCCAAGUCAGUUGUGAAACCCUGCGGCUCAACCGUAGUCGUGCAGUUGAAACUGGAUUUCUUGAGUGCGCACAGGGCAGACGGAAUUUGUGGUGUAGCGGUGAAAUGCUUAGAUAUCACGAAGAACUCCGAUCGCGAAGGCAGUCUGCCGGGGCGCUACUGACGCUGAGGCUCGAAAGUGCGGGUAUCAAACAGGAUUAGAUACCCUGGUAGUCCGCACUGUAAACGAUGGAUACCCGUGGUCGGUUUUUUUAUUCGGUCACCAAGCGAAAGCGUUAAGUAUCCCACCUGGGGAGUACGCCGGCAACGGUGAAACUCAAAGGAAUUGACGGGGGCCCGCMCAAGCGGAGGAACAUGUGGUUUAAUUCGAUGAUACGCGAGGAMCCUUACCCGGGCUUGAAUUGCAGAGGAAGGA